GGGUUGUGAGGUUAAGCGACUAAGCGUACACGGUGGAUGCCCUGGCAGUCAGAGGCGAUGAAGGGCGUGCUAAUCUGCGAUAAGCGCCGGUAAGGUGAUAUGAACCGUUAUAACCGGCGAUACCCGAAUGGGGAAACCCAGUGUGACUCGUCACACUAUCAUUAACUGAAUCCAUAGGUUAAUGAGGCGAACCGGGGGAACUGAAACAUCUAAGUACCCCGAGGAAAAGAAAUCAACCGAGAUUCCCCCAGUAGCGGCGAGCGAACGGGGAGGAGCCCAGAGCCUGAAUCAGCAUGUGUGUUAGUGGAAGCGUCUGGAAAGGCGCGCGAUACAGGGUGACAGCCCCGUACACAAAAGCGCAUGUGCUGUGAGCUCGAUGAGUAGGGCGGGACACGUGGUAUCCUGUCUGAAUAUGGGGGGACCAUCCUCCAAGGCUAAAUACUCCUGACUGACCGAUAGUGAACCAGUACCGUGAGGGAAAGGCGAAAAGAACCCCGGCGAGGGGAGUGAAAAAGAACCUGAAACCGUGUACGUACAAGCAGUGGGAGCACAGGUUUACCUGUGUGACUGCGUACCUUUUGUAUAAUGGGUCAGCGACUUAUAUUCUGUAGCAAGGUUAACCGCAUAGGGGAGCCGGAGGGAAACCGAGUCUUAAUUGGGCGUUAAGUUGCAGGGUAUAGACCCGAAACCCGGUGAUCUAGCCAUGGGCAGGUUGAAGGUUGGGUAACACUAACUGGAGGACCGAACCGACUAAUGUUGAAAAAUUAGCGGAUGACCUGUGGCUGGGGGUGAAAGGCCAAUCAAACCGGGAGAUAGCUGGUUCUCCCCGAAAGCUAUUUAGGUAGCGCCUCGUGAAUUCAUCUCCGGGGGUAGAGCACUGUUUCGGCUAGGGGGCCAUCCCGGCUUACCAACCCGAUGCAAACUGCGAAUACCGGAGAAUGUUAUCACGGGAGACACACGGCGGGUGCUAACGUCCGUCGUGAAGAGGGAAACAACCCAGACCGCCAGCUAAGGUCCCAAAGUCAUGGUUAAGUGGGAAACGAUGUGGGAAGGCCCAGACAGCCAGGAUGUUGGCUUAGAAGCAGCCAUCAUUUAAAGAAAGCGUAAUAGCUCACUGGUCGAGUCGGCCUGCGCGGAAGAUGUAACGGGGCUAAACCAUGCACCGAAGCUGCGGCAGCGACACUGUGUGUUGUUGGGUAGGGGAGCGUUCUGUAAGCCUGUGAAGGUGGCCUGUGAGGGUUGCUGGAGGUAUCAGAAGUGCGAAUGCUGACAUAAGUAACGAUAAAGCGGGUGAAAAGCCCGCUCGCCGGAAGACCAAGGGUUCCUGUCCAACGUUAAUCGGGGCAGGGUGAGUCGACCCCUAAGGCGAGGCCGAAAGGCGUAGUCGAUGGGAAACGGGUUAAUAUUCCCGUACUUGGUGUUACUGCGAAGGGGGGACGGAGAAGGCUAUGUUGGCCGGGCGACGGUUGUCCCGGUUUAAGCGUGUAGGUGUGUGUUCCAGGUAAAUCCGGUUCACUUUAACACUGAGGCGUGAUGACGAGGCACUACGGUGCUGAAGCAACAAAUGCCCUGCUUCCAGGAAAAGCCUCUAAGCAUCAGGUAACAUCAAAUCGUACCCCAAACCGACACAGGUGGUCAGGUAGAGAAUACCAAGGCGCUUGAGAGAACUCGGGUGAAGGAACUAGGCAAAAUGGUGCCGUAACUUCGGGAGAAGGCACGCUGACACGUAGGUGAAGUGAUUUACUCAUGGAGCUGAAGUCAGUCGAAGAUACCAGCUGGCUGCAACUGUUUAUUAAAAACACAGCACUGUGCAAACACGAAAGUGGACGUAUACGGUGUGACGCCUGCCCGGUGCCGGAAGGUUAAUUGAUGGGGUCAGCGCAAGCGAAGCUCCUGAUCGAAGCCCCGGUAAACGGCGGCCGUAACUAUAACGGUCCUAAGGUAGCGAAAUUCCUUGUCGGGUAAGUUCCGACCUGCACGAAUGGCGUAAUGAUGGCCAGGCUGUCUCCACCCGAGACUCAGUGAAAUUGAACUCGCUGUGAAGAUGCAGUGUACCCGCGGCAAGACGGAAAGACCCCGUGAACCUUUACUAUAGCUUGACACUGAACAUUGAGCCUUGAUGUGUAGGAUAGGUGGGAGGCUUUGAAGUG
This 2150-nucleotide ribosomal RNA is filed under the name Salmonella enterica subsp. enterica serovar Agona. RNAcentral describes it as "partial 23S ribosomal RNA". It matches the Rfam family "Bacterial large subunit ribosomal RNA", at positions 1 to 2164 of the family's 2925-position model. The record is from RNAcentral. Lineage: Bacteria; Pseudomonadati; Pseudomonadota; Gammaproteobacteria; Enterobacterales; Enterobacteriaceae.